Molecule: long non-coding RNA, 18010 nt
Filed under: Lynx pardinus (Iberian lynx)
Lineage: Eukaryota; Metazoa; Chordata; Mammalia; Carnivora; Felidae
Source: RNAcentral
CUGUCCCAUUUGGUCUUGAUUACCUGAAUUUUUCUGCGAUCACAGAAUUCUCUCAUUGUGCCUUGCCGACAUCCGAAACAGCAAGUGGCCUGCCUGGCAUUGAAAAGGAAAAAGUUUCUGGAGGACGCACCUGGAGCCGGAAGCCUUGAAGUGCUGUGGGUCUGGGGCUUGUGAAGGAAAGCUGGGAUGGGGGAGGGCUGGGGGAAGGCAGCGGACUGGCCCCGAGGGCCAGAGACAGUCUCCCCGAUGUCAGGGAGCAUGAGAGUUGCCCACCCUGGGCACUUGGGGUCCUCUCUGGCCCCAACUGAGAAGCCUCCAUUGUUGCCUUUCCCAAGCCCCCAGGCCUGAAAGCUAGAGGACCAGGGAGAAUAAAAGAGUCUGGGCAAAAGGCUCCAAGGCAGUUCAAAGAAGAGAGAGACUGGGGAUGAAGGUUUCAAGCCACAUCCAAGGGGAGGGCUUUUCAUCUGCCAGCCUUUGAAUCGGGAAUCAAGGCGGGCAAAGUUACUACCAGGUUAAAGUUUAAAUGGCACAGAAAGGGGAGACGGGAAGAUGAAACAACGGCCGUCUGGCCAGGGGAACAAAGCCGGAGCCCAGCCCGGGCACCUGGCCGCAGAGGCACCCGGCUGCAGCGGUCCCAGCAAGGAGAGGCUGUGACGCUCCCAUUGUUCGGCUGAAGAAGGAAAGUAAUUGAAAGGAAAGGUGAGGCAAGGAGAGGCAGCCGGCGUGUGUGACUGCCUGGAUCGUUAGAAAAUAAUUUAAAGGGAACAGGCUUAUCAAGCAGUUUCUCUUAUGGAAAUGCCAUCAUUGAAGAGAAAGGAAGAGGAGGGUGGGGGAAGCCUUUUCAUUCUUUGAAAAGAGUGAGUUUUUUUUUUUUUCCACUCACCAAGUGCAGACUUGAAUGUCAUGUGAAAUCUCUUCUAUUUGCAAACUUGCUUCACUCCCUAACUUCCCCAGGGUUGGGAGUCCUCUCUAGCACCUUGGGGGCUGGGGGAGCUGGGGCUUUUGGAGGGACCACAUGGCUGCAUCUGCACAGGUGUUUCAUUCUGAGACAGGUUCCCUGCUUCCUAGGGAAUCAUGGUCUCUGUUCAACCUCCUGGCUGGUUCUGCCUGUCCUCCUUGCUACCAACUGUGAUUUCUGCGGUCCUAGAGAUAAGUACAGGUAAGUUAGCAUCCUAUGCUAACAGGUGCAUCUUACACCCACACCUUCCCAGAUGAAACUUCCCCGUUCCCACUAUCUGACUGGACACAGAGGAAUAUCCCUGAUAACAUCUCCUGGAACUGAAACAUGUUCAUAAUUGUCAACAUUAAUCAAGCACAUAUUAUGUGCCAGAUAAAGUCUAGUAAGCGAGACCUAGAUCCCUGCGUUUAGGAACCUGAAGUCUAGAUGGGAAGGUGAGAAAAUAAGCAAAAACAAUUCAGACUGAGAAGAACUAUGGCAGAGGAAGCCUGGUGGCUGUGGGGCUGUUUCACCUGGUCUAUGGACCAUCAAGGAAACCUACCCGAGGAGGGGACGCUGGAGUUGAGUUGGGAAGAGUCAUUAGCUGCUAAGGAGGGGGAUUUUACUUCCAGCCAAGAUGCAGUUGCAUGGACCAGACCUACCUUCUUGCCCAAAACAAUAAAAAAAUAUGAAACAAUUGUUUGGGAGACAUUGGACAUCAAGACAUGAAUGGCAGUGUUCCCUGAGAAAUGGAAAUCUGAUGGGAUGAGCCUUAUGACUGCUCCAGCUCACUGCUUUAAGUGAGUUUCCAGGCCACAGCAUGGGGAGGAGAAUGUAGGGGGAGACUGGCAGACCUCCUGUGUUGAGGUGACAGAGCUGAGAAGCUGGAGACCUAGGUGGCUAGAGUUUGCAGGGGAGGGGAUCUGACAGGAGAAAGUUCAACACCGAGAAAACUCUGGAGAUAUGCAAAGGGAUACCCUUCUCAAGUAUUCAAAGAAUAUCAGCCAGCCCACAUGUGUGGGGAAAAUAAGUGACACCCAGGAAUGAACCACCUGAAGGGUCAGAGUGAAGAGUAACUGCAUCCAGAAUAAAUCACAAGAAUAUUUACAGGAGUAGAAAAAUAUCCAGGGGCCCCUGGGUGGCUUAAUUGGUUAAGUGUCCAACUUUUGGUUUUGGCUCAGGUCAUGAUCUCACACUUCGUGAGUUUGAGCCCUGCAUCGGGCUCCGUGCUGAUGGUGCAGAGCCUGCUUGGGAUUCUCUCUCUCUCUCUCUCUCUCUCUCAAAAAAAAAAAAAAAAGAGAGAGAGAGAGACAGAAAAAUAUCGGCUCCCAGAGAGGUAAAAUACAUUAUGUCUGGCAUCCAUUUACAAAUUACCAGGUGUGUAAAGAAGCAGGAAAGUAUGACCCAGGAUGAAGGAAAAUGGCUGAGUCAGAACUGACCUAGAACUGAUGCAGAUGUUAGAAUUAGCAGACAAGGACAUUAAACCAGUUCUUACGAUCCGAUUCCAUAUGUUCAAACAGUUAGAGACACUGAAGGCAUGAAGAAGACCCAGAUCAAACUAGUAGAAAUGAAGGCUCUGGUGAUGGAGACUGACAAGCAUGGUGGAUGGGGUUAACAGGACAUUACACAUUGUGGGAUGAAAGACCAGUGGACUUGAAGACAAAGCAGCAGGAACUAUCCAAAAUGAAACAAAGAGGGAAAAAAUAAUACAAAGAAAGACAGUAAAUAGCAUAAGCAAAUUGUAAUGAGAGGCACCUAUAAUGAGAGUGCCUUAAGAAGAGGGUGUGUGCUGUGAACAUAUUUGAAAUAAUAAUGGCUCAAAUUUUCCCAAACUUUAUGAGAGGUAUAAACCCAUGGAUCCAAGAAGCUCAAUGAACUCUAAGCACAGGAAACAUAAAGAAAACUACCUCCAAAACCACCAUAACCCAAUUGCUCGAAACCAGUCAUAAAGAGAAGAGUUUUAAAGAAGGAGAAGAAAAAAAAAAGACAUUAUGUACAGAGAAACAAAGGAUUACAGCAGAUUUCUCACAAGAAUCAAUGCAAAUGAGAAGACAGUGGAGCAGCAUCUUUCAAAACAAGUCAGAAAUAUUGUGGGUUCAGGUACAGAUCACUACAAUAAAGGGAAUAUCACAGUAAAGUGAGUCAAAGGAAGGUUGUGGUUUCCCAGGGUGUAUGGAAGUUUGUUUGUACUGUUCUGUAGUCUGUUAAGUGUGCAAUAGCAUUAUUAAGUGUGCAGUAGCGUUAUGUUUAGUCUAUUAAGUGUGCAAUAGCGUUAUGCACAUACCUCAGUUUAAAAAUACUUUAUUGCUAAAAAUUGUUAACUACCAUCUGAAAUUUAAGCAAGCCAUAAUCACUGAUCAUGGAUCGCCAUAACAAAUAUAAUAACAAUGAAAAGGUGUGAGAUAUGGUGACAUGUGACACAGACACACAAAGUGAGCAAAUGCAGUUGGAAAAAUGGUGCUCAAUGCAGGGCUGUCACAGACCUUCAAUUUGUAAAGCAGACUAAAACAACACAACAUCUGCAUAGUGCAGUAAAGUGAAAUGCAAUACAACAAGGUAUGCCAAUAUUGAAAGAAAAUUGAAAGCACUGUCAACUCAGAAUUCUAUACCUGUGAAAAUAUUCUUCAAAAACGAAGGCAAGAGAGAAUGAAUCCUGAAAAUACAGUGAAGUAGGAAGCACAAGGAAUCUGUCUCCCCACCUAGAUGAUAAUUACACCGGCAGAAUCUUUCUGAUACAACUAUUUUGGAACUCUGAAGUCUAUUGAAGCCUUACCACUUCCGAGGGAAGGCUCAGAUGGUAAAUUGUAGUUAACUUUGGCCAAUUUUAGCUUGUAGCAUGGUAGCAGCUAUCCAUCUCUCACUCUCAGCCCUGUGGCAGGCAGUCAUACCCAUGUUUUUCAAUGCAGCUUGAACUCAGCUUAUGGGAGCCAGGGUGGGCAGACAGGACCCUGUCCUCCAAAUCUUGGAAUCUGUGCUCUGAUUGCUAAUUGCAGCUUUUAUUCACAGAGGUACAAACAAGAAGUGGGCAACAUUUUUUGUUGCACCUCUCCUCAUUGUGAAAAGCACCUCCUCCAUUAGCUGAAGUUACUUCCAGGAGAUUUAAAAGCUUACACACUUUCCCCACCUUUUCAUUUUUCUCUUUUCCUCCUUUUGGAAGCCAGCCAUUAGAGUCUAGGACAUCCAUAAGCAACAACUGGAUAUACAGGGAAAGUUACAAAAUGACAACACUUGCCUAGGGAAAGACAUAAACUUGGAAGAAAACCUGGAAAGACAUCAAAUUUUCACUUCAGGCUAAUGCUUAGUACAAAGACAGUCUACAAUAAUAAAGAAGCAAAACAAGAAACAAUGGCAACAAACAGCAAACCAUAAGGAAGAGAGAGAAUCUAGUUUUUAGUAUUACCACAUUAUUAGAUUUGAAUGCCAAGUUUUCAACAAAAACAUCACAAAGCAUACAAAAAAAAAAUUACCACAAGAAUGUAUGGUCCAUUCAAAGGGAAAAUUAAAUAAAUAAACAGAAACUGUCCUUAAAAGGGAAUAAAGGCAGAUUUACUAAAUAAUUUAAAGCAACUGUCAUAAAGGUGUUCAAAGAACUAAAAGAACAUGUGGAGAAAGUCGAGGAAAUGACGUAUGAAGAAAGUGGAAAUAUCAAAGAUAGAAAACCUAAAAAGAGGGGUGCCUGGGUGGCUCAGUCAGUUAAGUGUCUGACUCUUGGUUUUGGCUCAGGUCAUGAGUUUGAGCCCCUCACAGUUCAUGAGUUUGAGCCCCACAUCAGGCUCUGUGCUGGCAGUGUGAAGCCUUUUUGGGAUUCUCUUUCUCUCCCUCUCUCUCUGCCCCUCCCUGCUCAUGCUCUCUCUCUUUUUUUCAAAAAUAGGUAAAUAAACACAAAAAAAUGAGGACAACCCUCAUCUAGUUAAUUAACACAUCCAUCACCUCACAUAUUUAAAACAAAACAAAACAAACCUAAAAAGAAAACCAAAAAGAAAUUCUGGAGCUGAAAAGUACAAUAAUUGAAAUGAAAAAUUCACUGGAUGGAUUCAAAGGCAUAUUUGAGCAGGCAGGAGAAAGAAUUAGCAAACUUGAAGGUGGGACAGUGGAAAUUAUUGAAUCUGAGGAACUGAAAGAGGAAAGAAUCAAGAAAGUGAACAGAGCUUAUGGGACCUGUGGAGCACCAUCAAGUGGAAGCAUAAUUAUUGUGGGUGGGAAUCCCAGAAAGAGAGAGAGAGAAGGGGGCAGAGAGAAAAGGUGAAGAAAUAAUGGCUGAAAACUUCCCAAAUUUAAUGAAAUACAUGAAUAUAAAUGACCAAGAAGCUCAACAAACUCCAAGUAAGAUGAAUUCAAAGAGACCCACACAGAGACAUAUUGUAUUCAAACUUACAAAAACCCAAAAACAAAUAAGAAAAUCUUGAAAGCAGCAAGAAAGUAGUGAAUCAUCAGAUACAAGGGAUCUUCAAGAAGAAUAUUAGCAUAUGUCUUAUCAGAAGCUUUGGAGGCCAGUAGGCAAUGGGCCAGUAUAUUCAAAGUGCUAAAAGAAAAACUGUCAACAAAGAACCUGAUAUCUGGCAAGAGUGUUCUUCCAAUGUGAGGGAGAAAUUCUCAGAUGAACAAAAACUGAGUGAGUUCGUGACCACGGGACCUGCCCUCUAAGAAAUGCUCAGGUGAAAUGAAAGGACCCGAGAUAGUAACUUGAAGCCAUAUGAAGAAAUAAAGAUCUCAAUGAAGGUUAAUACAUGGGAAAUUAUAAAAGCUAGUAUUACUGUAUCAAUGGUUUUUAACUCAGCUGUUUGUUUGGUUCAUGAUUUAAAAGAUCAGUACAUUAAAAACAACUAAGAGUCUAAAAGUGUUAUUUUAACUUUAGUUUGUAACUUCACAUUUUGUAUUCUACAUAACUUGAGACACUAGUGUAGUUAAAAGAAUAAUUAAUUUAUGUUAUUUAAAGAUAUAAUUUUGUGAAAUCAACAACUGAAAGGGGAUGGGGACAGAGUUGCAAAAUGGCAGUUUUUGUAUGAUUGAAGUUAAGCUGGUAUAAGUUAAAAUUAGAGUGUUAGAACUUGAGGAUAUUAAAAAUAAUCCCUAUGAUAACCACAAAGAAAAGAACUAUAGAAUAUAAACACCGGGAAAUGGGAAAGGAACUUAAACAAUUUCACUACAAAAAAAACCCAAAAAACAAAAAAAGAAGACACAACUAAACACAAAAGAAGAUAGUAGGGCAGGAAAUGAGAGACAAACUUUAAGUAAUAUAGGAAACAAAUAGCAAACCAAGAGCAGUUCGUUCUUAUCAGUAAUUGCUUUAAAUGUAAAUAGAUUAAACUCUCUAAUCCAAAGACAGAAAUUGGAAGAAUGGAUAAAAACAUGAUGUAUGCUCUACAAGGGACACACUUUAGAUCCAAAGAUGGAAAUAGAUUGAAGUAAAAGGAUGGAAAUAGAUAUUCCUUGCAAAUAGUAAGCAAAAGAGAGCAGUCGUGGCUAUACUAAUAUCAGAAAAAAAUAGACUUCAAAACAAAAAAGAUCCAGGGAGGAAGAAGGAUAUUAUACAUUAAUAAAAUGUUCAAUACAUCAGGAAGAUAAGCAAUUAUAAACACAUGUUCAACUAAUAACAGACCAUCAAAAUAUCAAAGUAAAAACUGACAGAAUUGAAGGGAAAAAUAGUUUUAAAAUAAUAGAUGGUGAUAUCAAUACUCCACUCUCAAUAGUGGACAGAACAACCAGACUAAAGAUAAGUAAGGAAAUUUAGAGCUUAACAAACACAGUAAACCAAUGAGGUAUAACAGACAUGUUUACCCAAUAACUUUCCCCAAUAACUAUAGUAUACACAUUCUUCUCAAGUGUACAUGGGAAAUUUUCUAAGAUAGACCAUAUGUUAGGCCACAAAUUGAAUCCAGUAGAUUUUAAAAAGAUGGAUGUUAUACGAAUCAUCUUCUCUGACCACAACAAGAUGAAAUUAUAAAUCAACAACAGAAGUAAAACUGGAAAAUUCACAAACUUGUGGAAAUUAAACAACAUACUCUUAAACAACCAAUGGGCCAAGGAAGUAACUACAGGGGAGAGUCACCUGGGUGUCUCAGUCGGUUGAGUGUCUGACUUUGGCUCAGGUCAUGAUCUUGUGGUUCAUAAAUUCAAGCCCUACACCGGGCUUUCUGCUGUCAGUGCAGAGACUGCUUCAGAUCUUCUGUCCCCCUCUUUCUCUUUCUGCUCUUCUCCUGUUUGUGCUCUCUCUCUCUCAACAAUAAAUAAACAUAAAAACAAAGAAAUCACAGGUGAAAUUAGAAAACAGAGGCCAAUGAAAAUAAAAACUCAAAAAUCAAAACUUAUGGAACACAGGGAAAACAGCAUUAAGGGGGGAAUUUGUAGCUAUAAAUGUUUACAUUAAAAACCAAGAAAGAUCUCAAAUCAACAACCUAGCUUUACACCUUAAGCAACUAGAAAAAACAAACAAACAAAUUGAAUCCAAAUCUAGGAAAGAAGGAAACAAUAAAGAUUACAGCAGAGAUAAAUAGAGAAGAAAACAGAAAAACAAUAUAGAAAAUAAAUUAAACCAAAAGUUAGUUCUUGGAAAAGAUCAACAAAUUGAUAAAAGUUUAGCCUGAUAGACUGAAAAAAAAGAGAGAAGACUCAAAUUACUAAAAUCAGAAAUGAAAAUGGGGACAUCACUAUUGACUUUACAGAAAUAAAAAGGAUUAUAAGAGAACUAUGAAUAAUUGUAUACCAACAAACUGGAUAGUCUAGAUGGAAUGGACAAACUCUUUUUUUUCUUUUCAAUUCUCAUUUAUUUUUGGCUCUUGGUGGAAUGGACAAACUCUUAGAAACACAAACCUACCGAGACUAAAACAUGAAGAAAGAAAUUUUGAAUACACUUAUAACAAGUAAGGAGAUUGAAUCAGUAAUCAAAAAUCUCUUGACAAAUAAGAGGCUUGAACCUGAUGGUUUCACUGGUGAAGUCCACCAAAUACUUAAAAAAAACCAAUGUUCUCAAACUGUUCCAAAAAAUUAAAGAAGUGAGGAACACUUCCAUAACUUAUCCUGUGAGACCAAUACUUCUCUGAUACCAGAACAAGACACACAGUACAAGAAAAGAAAACUAUAGGCCAAUAUCUCUCAUGAACACUGAUGCAAAAAUCUUCAACAAAAUACUUGCAAAUCAAUACUAACAACAAAUAAGAAGGAUUAUACCCUAUGACCAAAUGGAAUUUAUUUUCGGAAUUGCAAGGAUGAUCCAACAUAGGACAAUUAAGCAAUGUGAUAGACCACAUUAACGGAAGGAAAGGGAAAAGCUGCGUGAUCAUCUCAACUGAUGCUGAAAAAAAUCUUUAACAAAAUUCAACACUGCUUCUGGAUAAAAGCAUUCAACAUACUUUACUAGGUAUAGAAGGGGACUAUCUCAACAUAGUACAAAGCCUUAUAUAAAAAAUCCAUAGUGGACAUCUUAAUUCAUGGUGAAAGACUGAAAGCUUUUCCUCUAAGAUCAGGAACAAGCCAAAUACGCCCACUUUUGCCAUUUCUAUUUUACAUAGUCCUGGAAGUUACCAGAGCAAUUAGACAAGAAAAAAAAAUUAAAAGACACUCAAACUGGAAAGGGAAAAGUAAAAUGAUCUCUGUUCACAGAUGAUACAAUUUUAUAUGUAGAAAACUCUAAAGAUUCCACAAAAAAUGUUAAAACUAAUAAAUGAAUUUAGCAAAGUAGCAGUAUACGAAGUCAGCACACAAAAAUCACUUGCUUUUCUAUGCAUGAGCUAUUUAUAAUCUAAAAAGGAAAUGAAAAAAAUCAUUCUAUUUAUAGUAGCAUCAAAAAGAAUAAAAUACUUAGGAGGUACAAAACACUGCUAGGAACAUAGCUGAAAACUACAAAACAUUGCUGAAAGAAAUUAAAGAAUAAAUAAAUUGAAAAACAUCUUGUAUUCAUGGUUGGAAGACUUAAUAUUCUUAAAAUGUCAGUGCUAACCAAAAUGAUCCACAGAUUCAAUGCAAUCUCCAUCAAAUGGCAUUUUUAACAAAAAGAAAGCCCAUCAUAAAAUUUAUAUAGAAUCUUAAGGGACCUUGAGUAGCCAAACAAUCUUGAAAAAGAAGAACAAAACUGGAAGACUCACAGUUCCUUAUUUCAAAACUUACUACAAAGCUAUGGUAAUGAAAACAGUGUGAUGUUGGCAUAAAAAUGCAUAUAGUCAGUGGAAUAGAAUAAAAAGCUCAGAAAUAAACCUUCACGUGUAUACUCAAAUAAAUUUUGACAAGGGAGCCAAGUCUAUUCAAUAGGGAAAAACAGUCUUUUCAACAGAUGGUGCUCUAAAAACUGGAUAUUCACACAUAAAAAAUGAAGUUGGACAUCUACCUAACACCAUAUUAAAAAAAAGUAACUCAAAAUGGAUGAAGGACCUACAUGUAACACCUAAAGCAAUAAAACUCUUAGAAGAAAACAGAACAAAAGCUUCACAACCUUGUAUUUGGCAAUGAUUUCUUGGAUAUCACACCAAAGGCACAAGUAACAAAAUAAAAAAUAGAUAUUUUUAGACUUUAUGAAAAUUGAAAAAAUUUUGUGCAUUGGAAGAUACAGUCAACAGGGGAUUAAGGAGUACACUUGUCAUGGUGAGCACUGGAUGAUAUAUGGAAGUGUUGAAUCACUAUAUUGUACACCUGAAACUAAUAGAACACUAUAUGUUACAUAACUGGAAUUAAAAUAAGAACUUAAAAUAAAAAAACUCAAUAUGAAUAAAAUGAUGCUUUUCUUUGGAAAUUGAUUCCACACACACACACACACACACACACACACACACACACACAAAGACAACAUCAACAGUGUAAAAAGGCAACCCACAGAAUGGGAGAAAAUAUUUUCAAAACAUAUGUCCAAUAGGGAUUAAUAUUCAGAACAGAGAACUCAGCCUCCCAAAUCAAAGAACCCAAUUAAAAAAUGGGCAAAGGGCUCAAAUAGUUAUUUCUCCAAAGAAGGUAUUUAAAUAGCCAGUAAGCGCAUAAAAAGAUGUUUCAACAUCACUAAUCAUCAGAGGGAUGCAAGUCGAAAGUACAAUGAGAUACACCUCACACCCAUUGGGAUGGCUACUGUAAAAAAAAGAAAGUGAACACCUAGUGUUGGUAAGGAUGUGGAGAAAUUGUAAUCCUUGGGCAUAUUGGUAGGAACGCAAAGUGUUUCAGCUACUGUGGAAAACAGUAUGGUUAUUCCUCAAAAAACUAAGAAUAUAAUUAUAUAUGAUUCAGCAAUUCUAUUUCUGGGUAUAUAUUCAAAAGAAUUGAAAGCAAGAUCUCAAAGAGACAUCUGCACACGCAUGUUCAGUGCAGAGUUAUUCACAGUAUGUGAAACAGGGAGGCAAUCCAAGGGUCUAUCAAUGGAUGAGCAGAUAAGCAAAAUGUGGUAUAUACGUAAAGUGGAAUAGUAUUCAGCUUUAAAAAGGAAGGAAAUUCUGAUAUAAACAACAACAUGGAUGAAUCUUGAGGGCACUAUUCUAAGUAGAAUAAGCCAGUCACAAAAAGACAAAGACUCUAUGAUUCCACUUAUAUGAGGUACUUAGAGUAAUGAAAAUCACAGGGACAGAAAGUAGAAUGGGGUUGUCAGGUCCUCGGGGAGAAGGGGAUGGGAGGUUAUUGUUUAAUGGUGUAGACUUUCAGUUUCCCAAGGUGGAAGAAUUCUGGAGAUGGAUGGUGGAAACAGUUGCGCAACCCAUGAAUGUAUUCAAUAUCAUUGAACUGUACACUCAACACUCAAAAUGGUUAAGAUGGUAAAUUUCAUGUUAUGGGUAUUUUACCACAAUAAAAAAAAAUGGAGGCAAAAAUAGACUUUUUUUUAGACAUACAAAAGCCUAAGGACUCCAUUUUCAAUACAAAGACACAAGUAGGUUAAACACCAAAAUGAGCACAACUAUAAAGAAGGUUCUUUUAUAAUAAGAAAGGGUUCAAUACAUCAAGAGGACAUAACAAUCAUAAAUUUUUAUAUACCUAUUAACUGAGAUUCAAAUUAUAUGAAGCAAAAACUAAUAGAACUACAAGGAGAAAUAGAAAAAUCUACAAUUAUAGCCAGAGGUUCUGAUACCUUUCUGUUAGCACUUAAUGAAAGGCAUACACAUUAGUGAGAGUGUAGAAGGCUUGAGCAGCACUGCUAACCAACUUGACCUCAUUGAGAUUUACAGAAGACUCCACCCAACAAGGGCAGAAUACACAUGCUUUUCAAGGGUAAGUGCACAUGGAAUAUUGACCAUGCUAAUCUAUCUUCUGAGCCAUAGGUUGAGUCUGGAUAAACUUAAAAGGAUUUAAGUCAUACUACAUGUUUUCAGCUCACAAUGGAAUUAAAUUAGGAAUGAGUAACAGGAAGAUCUCUGGAAAGACCACAAAUAUUUGGAAACAAAAUGGCUUACUUAGAAGUAACCCUCAGAAGAAAUCAAAAAGGGAAAAAUCACUAAGGUGUUUUUUUGAAUGAAAAUGAUGAAAUGCUACAUCACCGCUUGUGGGAUGCUCCAAAGCUGUACUUACAGGGACGUUGAUAGCACUAGAUGCCUCCGUCAGAAAGGAAGAGCGUUCCCAAACCAAUGAUCUCCUCGUUUGCCUUAAAAAACUAGAAACAGAAGAGCAAAUUAAGCUGAAAGUGAGCAGAAUAAAGCAAAUAUAAACAUCAGAGUGGAAAUCAAUGAACUAGAAAUAGAGGAAAUGAAUGAAGCCAAAAGCUAGUUCUUUUAAGAGAUCAGUAAGAAUAGUAAACCUCUAAUCAGACUGAUAAAAAUAAAGAGGGGGGACAGUAAUUGCCAAUAUCAGUAAUGAGAGUGUUAAUGUCACUACAGACUUUGGAGAUGUUAAAAAGACAAUAAGAGUCUUAUGAACAACUCUGUCAUUACAUUCAAUAUUUCAGAUGAAAUGAACAAAAUCCUUGAAAGUCACAAGCUACAAAAUCUCAUCCAAGAAGAAGUAGGUAACCUGAAUUUCUCCAUAUCUUUUAAAAUAAUUGAAUUUGUAAUUAAAAACAUUCCCACAAAGAAAACUGCAGGCCCUGGUGCUUCACUAGUGAAUUCUAUCAAACAUUAAAAAAAGAAAUAACACCAAUUCUACACAACUCUUCUAGAAAAUUGAAGAGGAGGGAAUAUUAUUACCACCUCAUCCUAUGAGGUUAGCAUUACCCUGAUAUCAAAACCAGAGAGAAGCACUGCAAUAAAAGGAGGCUACCGACCAAUUCCUUCAUGAAUUAUAUGUAUUUUACCACAUUAAAAAAUGAAGGCAAAAUAGACUUUUUCAGGCAUGCAAAAGCUAUUGACUAAUAUCCUUCAAGUUUAGAUGUAAAAAUUUUAAGCAAAAUUUUAGGAAAUUGAAUCCAGUAACAUUUACAAAGGAUAAUACAUCAUGAUUAAGAUGGUUUAGCAUUUGAAAAUUAAUCAAUGCGAUUGACCAUAUUCAAGAACUAGGCACAAAACUCUAUAUGAUCACUUUAACAGACACAGAAAAAGCACUUAAUAAAAUUCAAUAUCAUUUCCUGAUUAAAAAAAAUAAUCCUCAACAAAUUAGGCAUAGACGGGGACUUCUUUAACUUGAAAAACCUACAGCUAAUAUCACAUUUAAUGAUGAAAGACUAAAUGCAUUCCUCCUAAGAUAAAGAAGAAGACAAGGAUGUCCACUCUCACCGCUUCUAUUUAAUUCUGUACUGGAGGUUCCAGCCAGUGAAAUAGGGAAGAGAGUGGGGAAAGGAGAGAGAGAGAAGGAGGGAGGGAGGAAAAGAGAAAGAGAGAGACAGAGAGAAAAAAGAGAGAAGGAAGAGAGAAGAAACAGGAGAAUGGAAGAAAAGGAGGAGAAGGAGAGAGAGGAGGAGAGGAAGAAGGAGGAGGAGAGGGAGAAGAAGAUUGGAAGGAAUGGAGGAGGAGGAGGGAGAGGGGAAGGAAGAGGGAGAAGGGAGGAGGGNCAUUUAAUGAUGAAAGACUAAAUGCAUUCCUCCUAAGAUAAAGAAGAAGACAAGGAUGUCCACUCUCACCGCUUCUAUUUAAUUCUGUACUGGAGGUUCCAGCCAGUGAAAUAGGGAAGAGAGUGGGGAAAGGAGAGAGAGAGAAGGAGGGAGGGAGGAAAAGAGAAAGAGAGAGACAGAGAGAAAAAAGAGAGAAGGAAGAGAGAAGAAACAGGAGAAUGGAAGAAAAGGAGGAGAAGGAGAGAGAGGAGGAGAGGAAGAAGGAGGAGGAGAGGGAGAAGAAGAUUGGAAGGAAUGGAGGAGGAGGAGGGAGAGGGGAAGGAAGAGGGAGAAGGGAGGAGGGAGGAGGAGGGAAGGAAGGAAGAAAUAAAGAGAAAGAAAGAAAAAAGAAAGGGCAUCUAUAUUGGGAAAGAAGCAAAAAUAUCUUUAUUUGCAGAUGACAUGGUUGUCUAUGUAGAAAGUCUGAUGGAAUCUAUAAUACAGCCACAAUAGACUUAAUAAGACUGUUUGGCAGGGUUGCAGGAUACAAGAUCAAUAUACAGAAAUUAAUUGUAUUUUUAUAUACUGGCAAGGAACAAUAAGAAACUAAAAUUAAAAAAUACCACUUAUACUAAUAUCAAGAAAACGUGAAAUACUUAGGGGUAAAUCUGACAAAGACACACAAAAGCUGAAAACUACAAGAUGUUGCUGAGAGAAAUUAAAGAAGACCUAAAUAAAUAGAGAGCUAUGCCUUGUUCAUGGGUCAGAAGACUCAGUAUUUUUAAGAUGUUAGCUCUUCCCAAAUUUAUCUACAGAUCCAAAGCAAUCCCAAUCAAAAUCCCUGCGGGAUUUUUUUUUUGUUGAAAUUGACAGACUCAUUCUAAAAUUCAUUCAGAAGUGCAAAGGGGGAAAUAGAACAGCCAAAACAACUUCGCAAAAGGCAGAUUUAGGGAUUAAGAUGACCUGAUUUCAAGACUUAAAAAAAAGCCACAGUCAUGAAGAGAGUGUGGUACUGGCGUAAAGAUCAAGGAUGAAUGAAACAGAGUAGAGAACCCCAAAACGGGCUCUCUCCGUAUAUGUGGACAGCUGACUUUUGGCAAAAGGCAAAGGUGGAGGAAAGAUAAGUUGUUUUAACAAAUAGGGUUGCUAAUCAGAUAUCCAUAAGCAAAAACAAAAAACAAAAAACACCAAAACUCUGAUUUAUCCCCCUCAUCAUAUACAAAAUGUAACCUAGAAUGGAUCACAUACUUGAAUGCAAAAUAUGAAGCCAUACAAAUUCCUGAAGAAAACAUGAAAGAAAACACGGGGCGGGGGGGGGGGAGUUGUGAACUUGGUUUGGGCAAAGAUUUCUAGAAAUGAUAUCAAAACCUUAGAAGCAAAAAAAUCCAUAAAUUGGACUUCAUCAACAUUAAAAACCUCUGUUCUCUGAGAGACACCAUUAGAGCAAUAAAAAAUGUCAUUCUAGAAAUGACAUCAAAACCCUAGAAGUAAAAAACAAAAACAACCCAUAGAUUGGACUUCAUCAGCAUUAAAGUCUUCUGUUCUUUGAGAGACACCAUUAGAACAAUAAAAAGACAAACUACAGGGUAUGAUAGAGCACUCUCAAUCACAUAUCUGAUAAAGUGUUUCUAGAAUAUAGAGGUUUCAAAUUUUAAUAAUAAAAACACAAAUCAACCAAUAGAAAACGCAGGUAAUUUGAAGAGACAUUUCACCAAAAGAGAUACACAGAUGGCAAAUAAGCGCAUGAAAAAAUGCUCAGCAUCAUUAGUCAUUAGGGAAAUGGGACUUAAUGCCACAGCGAGCUAGCACUAAUCACCCAUUAGAAUAGUCGAAACGAACAAGACUGACCAUACCAAGUGUCGGUGAGGAUGUUGUAAAAUCAGAACUCUUGUUACACUGCUGAUUUGAAAAAUAGUUUAGCGGUUUCUUAAAAAUUUAAACAUGCACCUGUUGUACAAACCAGCCAUUCUACUCCUAGGGAAAUGAAAGCAUAUGUCCAUCCAAAAAACCUGUACUCGCAUGUUCGUAACAGCUUUAUGUUGAAUAGCAACCGACCUACCACAAUGCAAAUGUCCAUGGAGGGGAGGGUGGAUACACAUAGUGGUAUAUCCAUAGGACAGGAUAAUUACUUAGCAAUAGAAAGGAAUGAGCUACUGAUACACAUGGCAACAUGGAUGAGUCUCAAAAUAAUUAUGCUGAGUGAAAGAAGCCAGACAUAAAAAGAGAAGGUGAGUGAUAAGACCCAUGUGAGUCAGUGUAUACAAAACUCUAGAAACUGUAAACUGAUCUGUGGAGCCAGAAAGCAGAUCAGUGGUUGCCUGGGUACAGGGGCAAGGGGUGAGUAGGAGGAAGUACAGAGUCAGGAGGAAACUUCUGGGAGCAAUGGAUGGGCUCACGACCUUGACUGUGGUGAUGGUUUCAGAGGUGUGUAUGUGGGUGAAAACUUAGCACAAUAUGCUCUUCAAAUGUAUGUGAUUUGCUGUGUCUAAAUUACACCUCAAUAAAGCAGUUGUGUGUGUGUGUUUUUAAAGAAGGUAGUGAGGCAGAAGGGACAGAAACGUGCUCCAGGCAGAGGUAACAGUCUGUGCAGAGGCCCAGAGAUGAGGACAGGAGGGGUUCUAAGAAGCGAGAAGGUUCUGCAUGGCUGGAGAACAUGGCAGGAAGUUGAGAGUGGGGAGACAUGAAGCUGAUUAUUGGUCCCUUGUGAUCUGCUUAUAAUUUGUUUUGUGUCUCCUUCAGGGUCUCUGGGAAGUUUUGGACAGUGCCCAGGCCUGCCCCACUGUGAUCCCGUUUUUUCUGCUUCUUCCAGGCUCCCAUGACAUUCAGCCAUUCCAUGGAGAUGUUCAAGUGAGCCCGUUCCUGAAGGUUGGGGUUUGGAAUGGUUAGGCAGGGCUUGAGGGAAGGAGGCUGUCAGCUGGAAGGGGAAGGGGGAAGGUGCCCAGCAUCACGAAUUCGGAGGCUGGAAGGGGUUAGUUGGGGGGGGGUUUAGGGAAAUGGACCCCUGACCACGUUCCAGAGUUGCUUCAGAGACUCCUUCCCAGCCCCGUGGGGAUCUGUCUUCAUCAAUUCGCAAAAGCCAGUGUGCAGAGAAUUUGCAGAACCAGGUCUGGUUUGCUGAAUGAAUUGUCGGACACACAUCUUAGUGGAUCUAGCAGAGUUCUCUGCUGCAAUGUCAAGUGCAAAGGCUGAGUGGGGACGCAGAGGCACUCAGCAAGCAGAGUUUGAGACAGCCAUGCAUUUGCAUGAGAAGGGCUGAAGCAGGGCAAAGAGUAGAAUAGAAUUAAAACUUCCAGAACAUCCCUCUGUAGCUAAGUUAGCUGAUCACUCACUGGGCUGAUCUUCCCCAACCUGAUUUUUGCAAAUCAGCCUGCUGCCCCUGGGAGGAGCUGACAAGCAUGUGAUCCCCUGGACAGGGUUGGGAGUGGGGUGUCAUCUGGAGCCCACUGUGGGCCUAGGCUGUGCCCGGGCCUAGGGGGUACCCGAUGAAGGCAGAGAGAGGGGGCAAAAGGACAAGGCAGGAUCUUGCAUGGGGCUGAGAAGACAAGAAAAGUCAAUAUUCAAUAUGGUCAGCAAACAAGAUGGUCUAAGAAUGAACCACAGUGGAGCAACAUAAAAGAUGAUACGGGGGGUUAGCAGAGGGAAACUGGGCCAGAGGGGGAAGGUCUCUGUGAAUGUCUUUUUGGGGAAAGAGGAUUGAAAUGGGCCUACCAGAUGAAUUUAGAUUUGGAUAAGGACAGGAAAGAAGGAUAUUCCAGGCAGAGGGAAAGGCCCCGAGCUGUAGGUAAGGGAUGAGACGGACAAUGGCCAGGAUGUUCUGUAUCAUGUCAGUGUUUGGUAGAACUCAUUUCCAAACGGUCCUGAAUAAUAUUAAAACCACUGCUUGAUAAAUGGUAUGCGGCCAGUUUGGAAAGGCCAACAGUGGUUGAGAUUAUGGAUGUUAGGGUUUGCAAGCUUGUUAAUGUGUUUUCUAGUGAUUUUUCCACCACGCGUGUAUAUUACUUGUGCAUUUCAAAAAUGUUAUGAAUCUGCAAACUAACAAACCUACCCCGUUUCCCUUUACCCUAAGAAAAGACCAGGCCUUCCUGGGACGGUAGGUGGAGGACAGACCAGCUCUCCCUGAGAGUUGCAAGCCCACAGGAUGUCCAGCCUCCAUCUGUCCAGGGCUUCCCGGGGGCCUUGCAUGCUCCUACCGGGCCAUAGGCUUGACUGGACACAGGCCAGAGGAGGGAGAACCUGCUCGGGCUGGCAUCGCAAGGUGCCAGGCGCACCUGAGCAGCCGGGCAGGUGUGACAGAUGCCCUGGACCGCAUGGAGCUGGCUAUGCCUUGUGCACACACCACCGUCCCAUCCCACCUCCCCUCCCCGAACCUCCCUCUGCUUCCCGGCUAGCUCAGGUGUGGUGCAUCUGUGGCCCAUUGGCAGCUUUCUUGCCCGCAGUGCUAGGGAGCUGUCAGGUUAAAAGCUGGCUUGCUCGAUUUGAUCCCACAUGUGAGCUGUUUUAUUUCCCUCUCUCUCCCUUACAUGGCUUCGGUGUGCUUUUAUAAAUAUUUCACUAGCCUUGCUAAAGUCUAUUUCAUCUCUCUCUUAAAUUUAUUAAAUAUAAAUGCAGCAACAACUCCAGCAUAAGUCUCUCUUUGCUGUCAAAAUCUCAGGCUCCCGUGGAAGUAAAUAUAAUUUGCUUUGUUUACUGUGGGUAAUUUGGAGCCCUAUCUUCUGUACCAGCACCACCCGUACCCCCCAAAUCUCCCUGCUUUCGUUUAGCAGGGGUCUGCCACAUCCUCAUGUAGGGCACAGGGACCCGGGCCCACUUUGAAGACUGCUUGACAAAGAACCAGCUGACCUUUGAGACUUGCCGAACCGGAGGCCGGUCUGCUGGUCUCCCAAAGGCACUGCCACGGGUAAAGGGGCACCUAUACUCGUCACCCCACACCUGAGCAGGCCCGGAGGCCUGUCUGAGCUGUGCCUUGCCCCUUGCAUCUUUUGGAGAGCAUGCCCAUCUGCCACAGCUGGUGACCUGGCCAGAAGAGACGCAGCCGGCUGUGAGAUGAUUGAGGGCGUUGACAUUCCUCCCACCCCCAGACCUCCAGUCAACAGAACCAGGGGCAGGACAGGGAUUCUGGUCCCCAAAAGCAGGUCGCAAGCACCACCCCCCAAGCCCCCCUGCCACUUCCUUUGUUCUUUGUUAAUUGCAAAAUAAACACAACCCUGCCCACC